GGUGGCUUAGUGGUAGAGCGCUUGUCUUGCAUGCAUGAGGACCUGGGUUCGAUUCCUCAGCACCA
RNAcentral lists this transfer RNA (65 nucleotides) under Dipodomys ordii (Ord's kangaroo rat). It matches the Rfam family "tRNA". From Rfam's summary of the family: Transfer RNA (tRNA) molecules are approximately 80 nucleotides in length. Their secondary structure includes four short double-helical elements and three loops (D, anti-codon, and T loops). The record is from Rfam by way of RNAcentral. Lineage: Eukaryota; Metazoa; Chordata; Mammalia; Rodentia; Heteromyidae.